RNAcentral lists this non-coding RNA (33 nucleotides) under unclassified sequences. Its description in RNAcentral is "DUF805b RNA". It matches the Rfam family "DUF805b RNA". From Rfam's summary of the family: Bacteroidetes, Chlorobi (1 example), Proteobacteria. Lineage (Flavobacteria) The record is from RNAcentral.
AUAGCGGAAACCGAAAAGCUAAAAGAGUAGGUG